GGGUGCAUGGUCUAGGGGUAUGAUUUUCCCUUCGCAUUUACAUGUGUACUGGGAAAGGUCUCCGGUUCGAAUCCGGAUGUAUCCA
Molecule: non-coding RNA, 85 nt
Organism: Phialemonium atrogriseum
Lineage: Eukaryota; Fungi; Ascomycota; Sordariomycetes; Cephalothecales; Cephalothecaceae
Source: the annotation of a RefSeq genome assembly